GACGAACGCUGGCGGCAGGCUUAACACAUGCAAGUCGAGCGCCGUAGCAAUACGGAGCGGCAGACGGGUGAGUAACGCGUGGGAACGUGCCUUUUGGUUCGGAACAACUCAGGGAAACUUGAGCUAAUACCGGAUAAGCCCCGAGGGGGAAAGAUUUAUCGCCAAAAGAUCGGCCCGCGUCAGAUUAGGUAGGUGGAGGGGUAACGGCCCACCAAGCCGAUGAUCUGUAGCUGGUCUGAGAGGACGAUCAGCCACACUGGGACUGAGACACGGCCCAGACUCCUACGGGAGGCAGCAGUGGGGAAUAUUGGACAAUGGGCGCAAGCCUGAUCCAGCCAUGCCGCGUGGAUGAAGAAGGCCCUAGGGUUGUAAAGUCCUUUCGGCGGGGACGAUAAUGACGGUACCCGCAGAAGAAGCCCCGGCUAAUUUCGUGCCAGCCGCCGCGGUAA
Molecule: ribosomal RNA, 449 nt
Filed under: uncultured bacterium
Lineage: Bacteria
Description: partial 16S ribosomal RNA
Rfam family: Bacterial small subunit ribosomal RNA
Source: RNAcentral